AAGUCACCGGUGCAAACCGGGUCGCUCUGACACCAAACAGCUAGCCCACCCAAUAUUUACUAACACCCAAAUAUUCAUAAACCUAAAAAUCCUAGAUAUCGCAACUAAACCAUUUUUCCACUUAAGUAUAGGUGAUAGAAAAAGAUUCUUCGGCGCAAUAGAGAAAGUACCGCAAGGGAACGCUGAAAGAGAAAUGAAACAAUUCAGUUUAAGUAAAAGAAAGCAGAGUUUUAGCCUCGUACCUUUUGCAUCAUGUUCUAGCUAGAGCCUACCAAGCAAAAAGCAUUUUAGUUUGACAACCCGAAACUAAGUGAGCUACCCCAGGACAGCCUAAAGAUAGGGCUAACCCGUCUCUGUGGCAAAAGAGUGGGAAGAUCUUCGGGUAGAGGUGAUAAGCCUACCGAACUUAGUUAUAGCUGGUUACCUAGAAAUUGAAUAAAAGUUCAGCCUCUUGAAUUCUCCCCUCUUUUUAAAGCUUUGCCUUAACUAAAGACCAAGAGAAGUCUAGAGAGUUAGUCAAAGGGGGUACAGCCCCUSUGAAACAAGAUACAACUUUAUUUAGGAGGAUAAGGAUCAAACUCAACUAAGGCAAAAUAUUUCAGUGGGCCUAAAAGCAGCCACCACAAAAGAAAGCGUUAAAGCUCGGAUAUCCUAAUUAUAAGCCCCUAAUUCUGAUCACACAAUCCAACUCCCCUUUAUUUACUAGGUCUUCCCAUAGCCACUUAUGGGAGUGAUUAUGCUAGUAUGAGUAAUAAGAGGCCUCUGGACCUCUCCACGCACAAGUGUACCUCGGAACGGACAUACCACCGAAGAUUAAUCCGCCCCCAAAAUCAGAGGGCACUAGGCCAAAAAAAGAAGACUAGAAAACCGCCAAAACUUCAGCGUUAACCCCACACUGGUGCGCAGACAUGGAAAGACUAAAAGGAAGAGAAGGAACUCGGCAAACUUACAUGAAGCCUCGCCUGUUUACCAAAAACAUCGCCUCUUGCCUGACUAACAUAAGAGGUCCCGCCUGCCCUGUGACUAUAGGUUUAACGGCCGCGGUAUUUUGACCGUGCGAAGGUAGCGCAAAUCACUUA
This 1079-nucleotide ribosomal RNA is filed under the name Craterocephalus sp. ZSM 34172-3. Its description in RNAcentral is "partial 16S ribosomal RNA". The stretch from base 221 to 1079 matches the Rfam family "Bacterial large subunit ribosomal RNA", at positions 568 to 1971 of the family's 2925-position model. The record is from RNAcentral. Lineage: Eukaryota; Metazoa; Chordata; Actinopteri; Atheriniformes; Atherinidae.